RNAcentral lists this ribosomal RNA (245 nucleotides) under uncultured Corynebacterium sp. Its description in RNAcentral is "partial 16S ribosomal RNA". It matches the Rfam family "Bacterial small subunit ribosomal RNA", at positions 524 to 768 of the family's 1533-position model. The record is from RNAcentral. Lineage: Bacteria; Bacillati; Actinomycetota; Actinomycetes; Mycobacteriales; Corynebacteriaceae.
UACGUAGGGUGCGAGCGUUGUCCGGAUUUACUGGGCGUAAAGAGCUCGUAGGUGGCUUGUCGCGUCGUCUGUGAAAGUCUGGGGCUUAACUCCGGGUGUGCAGGCGAUACGGGCUGGCUUGAGUGCUGUAGGGGAGACUGGAAUUCCUGGUGUAGCGGUGGAAUGCGCAGAUAUCAGGAGGAACACCGAUGGCGAAGGCAGGUCUCUGGGCAGCCACUGACGCUGAGGAGCGAGAGCAUGGGUAG